Molecule: ribosomal RNA, 432 nt
Filed under: uncultured bacterium
Lineage: Bacteria
Description: partial 16S ribosomal RNA
Rfam family: Bacterial small subunit ribosomal RNA
Source: RNAcentral
UAGGGAAUCUUCCACAAUGGACGCAAGUCUGAUGGAGCAACGCCGCGUGAGUGAAGAAGGCUUUCGGGUCGUAAAACUCUGUUAUUGAAGAAGAACGUGUGUGACAGUAACUGGUCAUGCAGUGACGGUAUUCAAUCAGAAAGUCACGGCUAACUACGUGCCAGCAGCCGCGGUAAUACGUAGGUGGCAAGCGUUGUCGGGAUUUAUUGGGCGUAAAGCGAGUGCAGGCGGUCUUUUAAGUCUGAUGUGAAAGCCUUCGGCUUAACCGAAGAAGGGCAUCGGAAACUGGGAGACUUGAGUGCAGAAGAGGAGAGUGGAACUCCAUGUGUAGCGGUGAAAUGCGUAGAUAUAUGGAAGAACACCAGUGGCGAAGGCGGCUCUCUGGUCUGUAACUGACGCUGAGGCUCGAAAAGCGUGGGGUAGCAAAACAGG